Molecule: non-coding RNA, 32 nt
Filed under: Rattus norvegicus (Norway rat)
Lineage: Eukaryota; Metazoa; Chordata; Mammalia; Rodentia; Muridae
Source: RNAcentral
UAACGGAGGAACAAUGUUCCCACCCUGGGUGU